AUACGGAGGAUCCGAGCGUUAUCCGGAUUUAUUGGGUUUAAAGGGUGCGCAGGCGGGAGAUUAAGUCGGCGGUGAAAUUUUGCAGCUCCACUGUAAAAGUGCCUUCGAAACUGGUUUCCUUGAGUGUAGAUGAAGUAGGCGGAAUUUGUGGUGUAGCGGUGAAAUGCAUAGAUAUCACGAGGAACUCCGAUUGCGCAGGCAGCUUACUAAACUACUACUGACGCUCAGGCACGAAGGCGUGGGGAUCAAACAGGAUUAGAUACCCUGGUAGUCCACGCAGUAAACGAUGAUUACUAGCUGUUUGCGAUACAAUGUAAGCGGCUGAGCGAAAGCGUUAAGUAAUCCACCUGGGGAGUACGUUCGCAAGAAUGAAACUCAAAUGAAUUGACGGGG
Molecule: ribosomal RNA, 393 nt
Filed under: uncultured bacterium
Lineage: Bacteria
Description: partial 16S ribosomal RNA
Rfam family: Bacterial small subunit ribosomal RNA
Source: RNAcentral